Molecule: unclassified non-coding RNA, 345 nt
Filed under: soil metagenome
Description: partial contains 5.8S ribosomal RNA, internal transcribed spacer 2, and large subunit ribosomal RNA
Rfam family: 5.8S ribosomal RNA (bases 1-119)
Source: RNAcentral
GAUGAAGAACGUAGCGAAAUGCGAUACGUAAUGUGAAUUGCAAAUUCAGUGAAUCAUCGAGUCUUUGAACGCACAUUGCGCCCCCUGGUAUUCCGGGGGGCAUGCCUGUCCGAGCGUCACUGCUGCCCUCAAGCACGGCUUGUGUGUUGGGCCCCGUCCUCCGAUCCCGGGGGACGGGCCCGAAAGGCAGCGGCGGCACCGCGUCCGGUCCUCGAGCGUAUGGGGCUUUGUCACCCGCUCUGUAGGCCCGGCCGGCGCUUGCCGAUCAACCCAAAUUUUUAUCCAGGUUGACCUCGGAUCAGGUAGGGAUACCCGCUGAACUUAAGCAUAUCAAUAAGCGGAGGA